AACGAACGCUGGCGGCGCGCCUAAUACAUGCAAGUCGAGCGAGAAGGUGUAGCAAUACACUUGUAAAGCGGCGAACGGGUGAGGAAUACAUGGGUAACCUACCAUCGAGUGGGGAAUAACCAGCCGAAAGGCUGGCUAAUACCGCGUACGCUUCCGGAUUUUCGAGUUCGGAAGGAAAGCGAUACCGUGGGUAUCGCGCUCUUUGAUGGGCUCAUGUCCUAUCAGCUUGUUGGUAGGGUAACGGCCUACCAAGGCUUUGACGGGUAGCUGGUCUGAGAGGACGAUCAGCCACACUGGCACUGCGACACGGGCCAGACUCCUACGGGAGGCAG
Molecule: ribosomal RNA, 332 nt
Filed under: uncultured Nitrospirota bacterium
Lineage: Bacteria; Pseudomonadati; Nitrospirota
Description: bacterial SSU rRNA
Rfam family: Bacterial small subunit ribosomal RNA
Source: RNAcentral